UACGUAGGGUGCAAGCGUUAAUCGGAAUUACUGGGCGUAAAGCGUGCGCAGGCGGUUAUGCAAGACAGAUGUGAAAUCCCUCGGCUUAACCGGGGAACUGCGUCUGAUACUGGAUGGCUUGAGAUUGGGAGAGGGAUGCGGAAUUCCAGGUGUAGCGGUGAAAUGCGUAGAUAUCUGGAGGAACACCGGUGGCGAAGGCGGCAUCCUGGACCAACACUGACGCUGAGGAGCGAAAGCCAGGGGAGCAAACGGG
This 253-nucleotide ribosomal RNA is filed under the name uncultured bacterium. RNAcentral describes it as "partial 16S ribosomal RNA". It matches the Rfam family "Bacterial small subunit ribosomal RNA", at positions 524 to 776 of the family's 1533-position model. The record is from RNAcentral.